RNAcentral lists this ribosomal RNA (1905 nucleotides) under Triticum aestivum (bread wheat). RNAcentral describes it as "partial small subunit ribosomal RNA". The record is from RNAcentral. Lineage: Eukaryota; Viridiplantae; Streptophyta; Magnoliopsida; Poales; Poaceae.
AUGGGGCCCUCUCCGUCGCCGCCGCAGCCGCCACCGCCGCUUCCGGCGACCGGCCGCCUCCUCGUGCUCUACGCGUCGCAGACCGGCAACGCCAUGGACGCCGCCGAACGUGUUGGGCGCGAGGCCGAGCGCGGUGGCUGCCCGGCCGUCGACGUCCUCUCCAUGGACAGCUUCGACCCCAGUUGCUUGCCGGGCGAAAGGUCCGUGGUGUUCGUCGUGUCCACCACGGGUCAGGGCGAUCCCCCGGAUUCCAUGAAGGGGUUUUGGAGGUACCUUCUUAAGAAGGACCUUGGUGCCAGGUGGCUGGAAGGACUCCGUUUUGCCGUAUUUGGGCUCGGUGAUUCGGGCUACCAGAAGUACAAUUUACCUGCAAAGAAGAUCGAUAGAAGGCUUUUACAACUUGGUGCAGAAAUAAUCAUAGAGAUAGGCUUGGGAGAUGAUCAGCACCCUUCAGGAUAUGAAGGAGCUCUAGAUCCUUGGUUGCUGUCUUUGUGGGAAUCGCUGAAUAAAGCAAAUCCAUCACUUCUACCAAGAAUAACUGAUAUCAUUAAUCCUAAUUUGAAUUAUUUGGGGGAUUCAAAGAUCGAAGUCAUAUAUUACUCUUGCAAUGAUGCCCCUCCAGAUUCCGUUGUUUCAGACUCCAAGAAAUUAAUCGAGAGAGCACGCUUAAUGUCCCCUGCUCUGAAGUUCCAUAGUGAUGGAGAGCCACAAUACAUGUUAAAGAUGGUAACAAAUCAGCGUUUGACUAAGGAGGAUUAUGAGAAAGAUGUGCGCCACUUUGAAUUGGAAGAUCCAUCUUCUGCGAUCAGCUAUCAAGUUGGCGACGCGUUAGAAAUUCUACCAAGUCAGAAUCCAUCAGCUGUUAAUGCUUUCAUUGAACGCUGUAACUUGGAUCCAGAUUCUUACAUAACGAUUAGAGCAAAGGGAGGGGAUGAAGUUUCCAACGGUUCACUUUUGAAUGGCUCGAUGGGUCGCAUCAAGUUAAGCACCUUUGUUGCUUUGACAAUGGAUGUUGCAUCAGGUUCCCCUCGUCGGUAUUUCUUUGAGAUCAUGAGCCAUUUUGCAACAGCUGAACAUGAAAAGGAAAGGCUUCAGUAUUUUGCUUCUCCUGAAGGUAGAGAUGACCUCUACCAGUACAAUCAAAAGGAGAGUCGGACUGUUCUAGAAGUAUUGGAGGAUUUUCCCUCGGUGCACAUGCCUUUUGAAUGGCUGGUGCAACUAACUCCUCCAUUGAAGAAACGGGCCUUUUCCAUAUCAUCAUCGCCAUUAGUACAUCCAAAUCAGAUACACUUGACUGUUAGUAUUGUAUCAUGGCUUACUCCUUUCAAGAGGACAAGGCAGGGUCUCUGCUCCACAUGGCUGGCAGGUCUCAAUCCAAAUGAAGAAAAUCUUAUACCAUGUUGGGUACACAAAGGAUCCCUGCCUCCUCCAAAGCCAUCGAUUCCUCUUCUACUUAUUGGACCAGGAACAGGAUGUGCACCAUUUCGAGCAUUUGUGGAGGAAAGGGCUGCACAGAGUGCGAGAGAAUCAACAGCUCCCAUUCUGUUCUUUUUCGGCUGUAGAAAUGAAGACAACGAUUUUCUAUACAAGGACUUCUGGUUGAAGCAUGCCCAGGACAAGGGAGUGCUGUCCCUGAAAGAAGGCGGUGGUUUCUUUGUUGCUUUUUCCAGGGAUCAGCCUCAAAAGGUCUAUGUACAACACAAGAUAAAGGAGCAGAGUGCAAGAGUGUGGAACAUGUUAUGCUCUGGGGCUGCAAUCUACGUUGCAGGGUCUUCUACCAAAAUGCCUGCUGAUGUUACAGCUGCACUAGAAGAAGUUGUCCGCCAAAAGGGCGGUGAGGCUGCUUCAGGAUGGCUCAGGAAACUGGAAAGGGCUGGUAAAUUUAACAUUGAAACUUGGUCGUAA